AAACGACUCUCGGCAACGGAUAUCUYGGCUCACGCAUCGAUGAAGAACGUAGCAAAAUGCGAUACUUGGUGUGAAUUGCAGAAUCCCGUGAACCAUCGAGUUUUUGAACGCAAGUUGCGCCCGAAGCCUUUUGGCCGAGGGCACGUCUGCCUGGGCGUCACACA
RNAcentral lists this ribosomal RNA (164 nucleotides) under Senecio candidans. RNAcentral describes it as "5.8S ribosomal RNA". It matches the Rfam family "5.8S ribosomal RNA". From Rfam's summary of the family: 5.8S ribosomal RNA (5.8S rRNA) is a component of the large subunit of the eukaryotic ribosome. It is transcribed by RNA polymerase I as part of the 45S precursor that also contains 18S and 28S rRNA. The record is from RNAcentral. Lineage: Eukaryota; Viridiplantae; Streptophyta; Magnoliopsida; Asterales; Asteraceae.